Molecule: long non-coding RNA, 869 nt
Organism: Ruditapes philippinarum (Manila clam)
Lineage: Eukaryota; Metazoa; Mollusca; Bivalvia; Venerida; Veneridae
Exons: 2
Source: RefSeq, a predicted model, not a curated record
AUUUUUAUAUGCCCGAAAGAAUUUCGGGCAUAUUAUGUUAUACCCCCUGGCGUCCGUCCGUCCGUCCGUCUGUCUAUCCGUCCGUCCGUCUGUCCGUCCGUCCGUUAGCAAUUUGGUUUCCGGAGCAUAUCUUAAGUUCCAUUUGGCCCACAACAUUCAAACUUCAUAGGAUGAUUGUCCAUUUUGGGUAGAAGACCCCUAUUGAUUUUGGGGACACGAGGUCAAAGGUCAAGGUCACUAUGACCUUAAAACUGAAAACAGUUUCCGGAGCAUAACUUAAGUUCCAUUUAGCCCACAGUGUUCAAACUUCAUAGGAUGAUUGUCCAUAUUGGGUAGAAGACCCCUAUUGAUUUUGGGGUCACAAGGUCAAAGUCACUAUUACUUUAAAACUGAAAACAGUUUCCAGAGCAUAACUUAAGGUCUAUUUGUCCCACAAUAUUCAAACUUCAGAGGAUGAUUGUCCAUAUUGGGUAGAACACCCCUAUUGAUUUUGGGGUCACAAUGUCAAAGGUCAAGGUCACUAUUACUUUAAAACUGAAAUUUUUUUCCAGAACAUAACUUAAUUUCUAUUUGGCCCAUAGUGUUGAAACUUCAUAGGAUGAUUGUCCAUAUUGGGUACAACACCCCUAUUGAUUUUGGGGUCACAGGGUCAAAGUUCAAGGCAGCUAUUACCUCAAAACUAAAAACAGUUUCCAGAGCAUAACUGAAGUUCCAUUUGGCCCACAAUAUUCAAACUUUAUAUAAGGAUUGCUAUUUGAAGGAGGUAAUACUUUAUUUAAUUUAUGUAAUGUCUUACAAAUGCUUCAUCCUUAGUAAAGAAAAAAAAACACUUUCGGGCAUAUAAUGCUCCGCCUAGCGGUGCUCUUGUU